Molecule: ribosomal RNA, 468 nt
Filed under: uncultured bacterium
Lineage: Bacteria
Description: partial 16S ribosomal RNA
Rfam family: Bacterial small subunit ribosomal RNA
Source: RNAcentral
GACGAACGCUGGCGGCGUGCUUAACACAUGCAAGUCGAACGGAAAGGCCCUGCUUUUGUGGGGCGCUCGAGUGGCGAACGGGUGAGUAACACGUGAGUAACCUGCCCUUGACUUUGGGAUAACUUCAAGAAACUGGGGCUAAUACCGGAUAGGAGCUCCUGCUGCAUGGUGGGGGUUGGAAAGUUUCGGCGGUUGGGGAUGGACUCGCGGCUUAUCAGCUUGUUGGUGGGGUAGUGGCUUACCAAGGCUUUGACGGGUAGCCGGCCUGAGAGGGUGACCGGCCACAUUGGGACUGAGAUACGGCCCAGACUCCUACGGGAGGCAGCAGUGGGGAAUAUUGCACAAUGGGCGGAAGCCUGAUGCAGCAACGCCGCGUGCGGGAUGACGGCCUUCGGGUUGUAAACCGCUUUCGCCUGUGACGAAGCGUGAGUGACGGUAAUGGGUAAAGAAGCACCGGCUAACUACGUG